GCCCGAGUGGUGGAAUGGUAGACACGCUACGUUCAGGUCGUAGUGAGCGCAAGCUCGUGGAGGUUCAACUCCUCUCUCGGGCACCA
RNAcentral lists this transfer RNA (86 nucleotides) under bacterium ADurb.Bin400. RNAcentral's name for it is "tRNA-Ser". It matches the Rfam family "tRNA". Rfam says of the family: Transfer RNA (tRNA) molecules are approximately 80 nucleotides in length. Their secondary structure includes four short double-helical elements and three loops (D, anti-codon, and T loops). The record is from RNAcentral.